UACGAAGGGGGCUAGCGUUGCUCGGAAUCACUGGGCGUAAAGCGCACGUAGGCGGCUUUCUAAGUCAGGGGUGAAAUCCUGGAGCUCAACUCCAGAACUGCCUUUGAUACUGGGAAGCUCGAGUCCGGAAGAGGUGAGUGGAACUGCGAGUGUAGAGGUGAAAUUCGUAGAUAUUCGGAAGAACACCAGUGGCGAAGGCGGCUCACUGGCCCGGUACUGACGCUCAGGUGCGAAAGCGUGGGGAGCAAACAGG
Molecule: ribosomal RNA, 253 nt
Filed under: uncultured bacterium
Lineage: Bacteria
Description: partial 16S ribosomal RNA
Rfam family: Bacterial small subunit ribosomal RNA
Source: RNAcentral